UGGUGGAGUGAUUUGUCUGGUUAAUUCCGAUAACGAGCGAGACCUCAGCGUACUAAUUAGUUGCAGGAAUUUUUAAUUCUCAAGUGCGACUUCUUAGAGGGACUAUCGGUGCGUAGCCGAAGGAAGUUUGAGGCAAUAACA
Molecule: ribosomal RNA, 141 nt
Filed under: uncultured eukaryote
Lineage: Eukaryota
Description: partial 18S ribosomal RNA
Rfam family: Eukaryotic small subunit ribosomal RNA
Source: RNAcentral